RNAcentral lists this ribosomal RNA (1428 nucleotides) under Campylobacter upsaliensis. Its description in RNAcentral is "partial 23S ribosomal RNA". It matches the Rfam family "Bacterial large subunit ribosomal RNA", at positions 1513 to 2925 of the family's 2925-position model. Lineage: Bacteria; Pseudomonadati; Campylobacterota; Epsilonproteobacteria; Campylobacterales; Campylobacteraceae. The record is from RNAcentral.
UAAGGUCGUAGGAGGUUAUACAGGCAAAUCCGUAUAACAAUACUCCGAGAACUGAAAGGCUUUUUGAAGUCUUCGGAUGGAUAGAAGAACCCCUGAUGCCGUCGAGCCAAGAAAAGUUUCUAAGUUUAGCUAAUGUUGCCCGUACCGUAAACCGACACAGGUGGGUGGGAUGAGUAUUCUAAGGCGCGUGGAAGAACUCUCUUUAAGGAACUCUGCAAAAUAGCACCGUAUCUUCGGUAUAAGGUGUGCCUCCCUUUGUACUAGAAUUCACUUCGAAAGCAAAGAAGGUUACAACAAAGAGUCCCUCCCGACUGUUUACCAAAAACACAGCACUCUGCUAACUCGUAAGAGGAUGUAUAGGGUGUGACGCCUGCCCGGUGCUCGAAGGUUAAUUGAUGGGGUUAGCAUUAGCGAAGCUCUUGAUCGAAGCCCGAGUAAACGGCGGCCGUAACUAUAACGGUCCUAAGGUAGCGAAAUUCCUUGUCGGUUAAAUACCGACCUGCAUGAAUGGCGUAACGAGAUGGGAGCUGUCUCAAAGAGGGAUCCAGUGAAAUUGUAGUGGAGGUGAAAAUUCCUCCUACCCGCGGCAAGACGGAAAGACCCCGUGGACCUUUACUACAGCUUGACACUGCUAUUUGGAUAAGAAUGUGCAGGAUAGGUGGGAGGCUUUGAGUAUAUGACGCCAGUUGUAUAUGAGCCAUUGUUGAGAUACCACUCUUUCUUAUUUGGGUAGCUAACCAGCUUGAGUUAUCCUCAAGUGGGACAAUGUCUGGUGGGUAGUUUGACUGGGGCGGUCGCCUCCCAAAUAAUAACGGAGGCUUACAAAGGUUGGCUCAUAGCGGUUGGAAAUCGCUAGUAGAGUAUAAAGGUAUAAGCCAGCUUAACUGCAAGACAUACAAGUCAAGCAGAGACGAAAGUCGGUCUUAGUGAUCCGGUGGUUCUGUGUGGAAGGGCCAUCGCUCAAAGGAUAAAAGGUACCCCGGGGAUAACAGGCUGAUCUCCCCCAAGAGCUCACAUCGACGGGGAGGUUUGGCACCUCGAUGUCGGCUCAUCGCAUCCUGGGGCUGGAGCAGGUCCCAAGGGUAUGGCUGUUCGCCAUUUAAAGCGGUACGCGAGCUGGGUUCAGAACGUCGUGAGACAGUUCGGUCCCUAUCUGCCGUGGGCGUAAGAAGAUUGAAGAGAUUUGACCCUAGUACGAGAGGACCGGGUUGAACAAACCACUGGUGUAGCUGUUGUUCUGCCAAGAGCAUCGCAGCGUAGCUAAGUUUGGAAAGGAUAAACGCUGAAAGCAUCUAAGCGUGAAGCCAACUCUAAGAUGAAUCUUCUCUAAGCUCUCUAGAAGACUACUAGUUUGAUAGGCUGGGUGUGUAAUGGAUGAAAGUCCUUUAGCUGACCAGUACUAAUAGAGCGUUUGGCUUAUCUUAUAAA